GCUAACAAGGUCCAGGUGAAAAUCUAGAAGCGCGGGUGACUUGGCUGCAAGUACCUGGGAGUGAUCAUGAAUUUGCAAUUGCCCUUUAAUGUUUGAACUUCAGAAUAGCAAAACAUAUCAGCAGCAAGCAACUAGAGGAUGGAAGUAAAAAACAAGUUGAGAAAGCAUUAAUAGCCCUUUAAAGUUUCUCAAUCGUGACACUGAGGCAGUGAGUUAGAACAGAGAAGCAUUCACUUUACUUUUCUGGGAGUUGAGCCAUAAUCCUACAGUAAAGAUAUCAGCGUACAACAUAAAUAUGAAUAAUAUUUUCAAAAAGCAGAAAUUGCAGACCUCCAUGUUAUUAACUGUGAUUAAACUCACAGGAUUUCAAGUGUUUAGAGGGCCGGCACAGCUAAAAUUAGAAUGGUGCAUUCAAGAUCAAUUGUAGAAGCAGAAAGGAAUGGUCCUGACGGAGCUUGAGAAGAUGCAUCUUGAUGCCAUUAUGAUUGCAACGAAGAAUAAAUUUUUUAUUGACAAUAAGCAUCCUCAGCACAACCCUGAAGGCUGAAGCUUCAAAGAAAUGUUCUAUACAAAUGGCAUGCUGAAGUGAUUUGGACCAUUCUAAUAACUCACGUUUUGCAUUAAGAAAGCUAAAGUUCAAUAAUUCAGGGGGAGGAGUUUCUGAAAUACAUCUCCUUCAAUCCAGUAAUGAUAAAACUAAUUUACCUAAGUAGAUUUUCCAGCAUCAACCAAAUAUAUUUUCAAAAAUCAAAUUGUCACCAAAUACAUACAUUCCCAGUCCCAGAUAUAAAACUCAGAAAUGCAAAAAUCAUUUUUCUUCCCCCAACUAUCCUUGAUUUACAAACAAUAGCAGGCACAAAUCUUUAAUUUCCUCCAUAUUCGCCAUAUCAACCAAAUCAGGAAUAAGCAAACCAACAAUAAGUAAGAAAACAAGCGUUCAAAAGCCUUUAAUAAACAAAUAAAUACACUAAACAUACCUUGCAAAGGUAAUGCAUAAG
RNAcentral lists this unclassified non-coding RNA (998 nucleotides) under Hevea brasiliensis (rubber tree). Lineage: Eukaryota; Viridiplantae; Streptophyta; Magnoliopsida; Malpighiales; Euphorbiaceae. The record is from RNAcentral.